RNAcentral lists this ribosomal RNA (254 nucleotides) under uncultured bacterium. RNAcentral's name for it is "partial 16S ribosomal RNA". It matches the Rfam family "Bacterial small subunit ribosomal RNA", at positions 524 to 776 of the family's 1533-position model. The record is from RNAcentral.
UACGGGGGGAGCAAGCGUUGUUCGGAUUUACUGGGCGUAAAGGGCGCGUAGGCGGCCACCGCAAGUCGAUUGUGAAAUCUCCGGGCUUAACUCGGAAAGGUCAACCGAUACUGCGGGGCUAGAGUGCAGAAGGGGCAACUGGAAUUCUUGGUGUAGCGGUGAAAUGCGUAGAUAUCAAGAGGAACACCUGAGGUGAAGACGGGUUGCUGGGCUGACACUGACGCUGAGGCGCGAAAGCUAGGGUAGCAAACGGG